GUGAUAUGUACUAUAUGGAGGAAGAACAUGGCACAAAGUGUGAGCUUGAAGAGCUUAAGAAAACCACAGCAGAAUUCCUGAGGUUAAAAAGGGCAGCGGGGAGGAAAGUAGAGUUAUAUUGAUAAGAGGACAUGCAAAGAGCAUUAUUCAAAUCAGAGUCAGGAAAAGUGAUGUAGUUAACAUAUAUUCAGAGGCUAUUCUAGCACCAAGUUAAUUCCACACAAAACUUCCCUU
RNAcentral lists this long non-coding RNA (234 nucleotides) under Bos taurus (domestic cattle). RNAcentral's name for it is "long non-coding RNA NONBTAT011321". The record is from RNAcentral. Lineage: Eukaryota; Metazoa; Chordata; Mammalia; Artiodactyla; Bovidae.